UAUAUAUACCUGUAUAUCCAAAAUACCUGAAAAAUGAAUAAAAAUAAACUUCAACUUUAUAAAAAAUAUAUAUAAUUGAAGUUUAUUUUUAUUCAUUUUUCAGGUAUUUUGGAUAUACAGGUAUAUAUA
Non-coding RNA from Pelobates cultripes (western spadefoot toad), 129 nucleotides. The record is from the annotation of a GenBank genome assembly. NCBI's taxonomy places the organism in Eukaryota, Metazoa, Chordata, Amphibia, Anura, Pelobatidae.